ACCCCAACAGGAGCAUUGACUGGUCUUUUUAAAUUCAGUAAGUGCUACUUGUUGGGGUA
This is a microRNA precursor of Gadus morhua (Atlantic cod), 59 nucleotides long. Ensembl annotates it as gmo-mir-430a. Its record names the gene gmo-mir-430a. Lineage: Eukaryota; Metazoa; Chordata; Actinopteri; Gadiformes; Gadidae. The record is from Ensembl.